GGCGAGUGAAGCGGGAAAAGCUCAAAUUUGUAAUCUGGCGCCUUGGGCGUCCGAGUUGUAAUCUCGAGAAGUAUUUUCCGCGCUGGACCGCACAUAAGUCUGUUGGAAUACAGCGUCAUAGUGGUGAGAACCCCGUAUAGGGUGCGGAUGUCCAGUGCUUUGUGAUAUACUUUCGAAGAGUCGAGUUGUUUGGGAAUGCAGCUCAAAUGGGGUGGUAAAUUCCAUCUAAAGCUAAAUAUUGGCGAGAGACCGAUAGCGAACAAGUACCGUGAGGGAAAGAUGAAAAGCACUUUGGAAAGAGAGUUAACAGUACGUGAAAUUGUUGGAAGGGAAACGCUUGAAGUCAGACUUGCAUUUUGGAGUUCAGCCGCAAGGUGUAUUCUUCAAUUCGCAGGCCAGCAUCAGUUUUUGGGGGUGGAAAAGCGCGGUUGGAAGGUAGCAGUUUCGGCUGUGUUAUAGCUGGCCGCUGGAUUCACUUUUGGGGACUGAGGAACGCAGUACGCUUUUUGCAAGACCUUCGGGUCUUUCGUACUUAGGAUGCUGGUGGAAUGGCUUUAAACGA
RNAcentral lists this ribosomal RNA (562 nucleotides) under Microbotryum violaceum. Its description in RNAcentral is "eukaryotic LSU rRNA". It matches the Rfam family "Eukaryotic large subunit ribosomal RNA", at positions 88 to 647 of the family's 3401-position model. Lineage: Eukaryota; Fungi; Basidiomycota; Microbotryomycetes; Microbotryales; Microbotryaceae. The record is from RNAcentral.